UAAAAAAAAAAACUUGUACCUGACUUUCCACCAGCUUGAGGAGAUAAUGACUGCUUUUCUUAAAUUUUGGGGUGAACUAAUCCUUUAACUUCGAUGCUUCCAAAUAUUCAUUUUGAGUGGGGAGCAGCGCAAACACAGGCUGAAUCAUACAACAACAAAAACACGAAUCCUCACAAAAGUGUCAGGAGAUCUUCGUGAUGUCGUGUCCGCCACCACCUGUCUGUCCUCGGGCACCUCCUGGCAUUCAAACGCAAAAAAAAAACAAAAAACAAAAAAACAAUGCGUGUACUCCCCCAAUCCUCCCUCCUCCCCCGCCAAUCUGUUUAAUCGAUCAGCCUCGGACGACCUGUGACACUAACUAGAUUACCAAUUCACACAUCACUCGCUUCUCUGCAGGUCUAAUCGGUCCUGACAGAAACAGAGCCCGGAGCCCUCCUCCCACGCGCCUUCUCCAGCCCACUCCUCUCUUUAUCUGGGAGCUCCUCCGCUCCGAUCCUCAGAGCAGCAGGCGCCCCGGUCAGCGCAGCUCUCUCCUGCAUCCGCGGAGAGGACUGGACUCGGUCGCCUUGUUGCACCAUCAACAGUUUCUUUCUGGAUUUUUUUUAUCCCUCCCGGCCGCCAACAUGAGACUUGUUUGGGUUUUUGUUGCGGUUGCGGCUUUGCUCACAGGUAAGGUGGAAGAGUGAUGGAGCUUUUUUAUUUUUUUAUUAUUAUUAUUAUUCCCUGCAAGCGUGCUGCAAGUUAGUGAGCGUCAGUUCAGGACCAUGGACAGAGACUGCUUUACUUAAAUGCAUGCAAAUCCAUCCUGCAAAUGAGAAACCUUAACAUGAGCACUUUUUUUCUCUCUAAUGCAGAAAAUCAAGCGCUUCCAGUGGCAAAAGAAGGACAGAGAGAAGAUGUGGUACGCAUUUUAUAGAUGAAGUUUAAAACAAGAGCUGCGCAGAAAUUGAAGCCAGAUAAAGCAGCAUGUGAGGGAUCAGCUUCAUAUCUUUAUUUAUGUUUUGCCUGUUGCAGGUAACACGAUGCUUGGUUGAAGUCUUGUCCAAAGCUCUCUCCAAACCGGACUCCCAGCUGGAUCAGCAAUGCAAAGAAAUCCUCCAAGCAGGGGUUAAAAACGCUCCACUGGACAAAAAGACUACGGAGGGGACGGCGACCAAUGGAGAGGCGGUCAGAGGUCACCCCGAGGGGACUGAGGCAAAGGGAGCAGACGUUAAAGACAUCGAGGCUCUCCUGAAAUCUGUCGAGGAAAAACGAGAAAUCCCAGAAGACGAGCGCAGCCAAGAGUCCUGGAGCCUGGGCGACGAGAAGGACAAGAGACACGAGGACGAGGCGGAUGAAGCAGAGCGGGAGAAGAGAAGCGGCUGGAGGCCCGGAAGACACCACCAACAACGGGCGCACAAACGAGGGGAAGAGGAAGAAGAGGAAGACAACCAGCGCAGUCAGGAGAGCUGGGGGCUGGAGAAGAGGAGGUUAGACGAAGAGGAGGAAGACAAGGAGAAGAGGAACUGGAGACCCGGAAGAUACCACCAAAGGAAACAAAAACGAGAUGAGGAAACUUUAGGAGAUGAGAGGGAGGAGCCCGAGGAAGAACGUAGCCAAGAGUCCUGGGACAUAGCCAAAAGGCACGGGACCACGCAUCGCUACCUACACAAGACAAAGCUCCACAAACGUGGCGAGGAGGAUGAAGACGGCGAGCGCAGCCAGGAAUAUUGGGGCCUUGACGACGAGAGGGACAAGAGGGACUGGAGGGCCGGAAGGUUCCACCAGAGGAGACACAAACGUGACGAAGAGCUUGCAGAAGAACCAAGAGAAGAACCAGAAGAGGAACGCAGCCAGGAAUCCUGGGACUUUGAUACUGGAAAAAACAAGCGCGAUUGGAGGGCUGGAAGGUUCCACCAGAGGAGACACAAGCGUGACGAAGAGCUCUCUGAGGAAGCCAGAGAAGAACCCGAUGAGGAACGCAGCCAGGAAUCCUGGGACUUUGAUACUGGAAAAAACAAGCGCGAUUGGAGGGCUGGAAGGUUCCACCAGAGGAGGCACAAGCGUGACGAAGAGCUCUCCGAGGAAGCCAGAGACGAACCCGAUGAAGAACGCAGCCAGGAAUCCUGGGACUUUGAUACUGGAAAAAACAAGCGCGAUUGGAGGGCUGGAAGGUUCCACCAGAGGAGGCACAAGCGUGACGAAGAGCUCUCAGAGGAAGCCAGAGACGAACCCGAUGAGGAACGCAGCCAAGAAUCAUGGGACUUUGAUACUGGAAGGGACAAGAGAGACUGGAGGGCCGGCAGAUUCCACCAGAGGAGACACAAGCGUGACGAAGAGCUCUCCGAGGAAGCCAGGGAUGAACCGGACGAGGAACGCAGCCAAGAAUCAUGGGACUUCGAUACUGGAAGGGACAAGAGAGACUGGAGGGCCGGCAGAUUCCACCAGAGGAGACACAAGCGUGACGAAGAGCUCUCCGAGGAAGCCAGGGACGAACCGGACGAGGAACGCAGCCAAGAAUCAUGGGACUUCGAUACUGGAAGGGACAAGAGAGACUGGAGGGCCGGCAGAUUCCACCAGAGGAGACACAAGCGUGACGAAGAGCUCUCAAAAGAACCAAGAGAAGAACCAGAUGAGGAACGCAGCCAAGAAUCAUGGGACUUUGAUACUGGAAGGGACAAGAGAGACUGGAGGGCCGGCAGAUUCCACCAGAGGAGACACAAGCGUGAUGAAGAGCUCUCAGAGGAGGCCAGAGAUGAACCAGACGAGGAACGCAGCCAAGAAUCAUGGGACUUUGAUACUGGAAGGGACAAGAGAGACUGGAGGGCCGGCAGAUUCCACCAGAGGAGACACAAGCGUGACGAAGAGCUCUCAAAAGAACCAAGAGAAGAACCAGAUGAAGAACGCAGCCAGGAAUCAUGGGACUUUGAUACUGGAAGAGACAAAAGAGAAUGGAGGGCCGGCAGAUUCCACCAGAGGAAACACAAGCGUGACGAAGAGCUCUCAGAGGAGGCCAAAGAAGAACCGGACGAGGAGCGCAGCCAGGAAUCCUGGGGACUGGACAAAAGAAACGAAGCUCUGAGGUAUCUGGCAGAGAAACGCAAUCCCUGGAUUUUCAGAGGCUAUUACCAUCCUGCGUGGUAUAAGAGGGAUUCAGAUGAGAAUGCUGCAACCUCAAAUAAGAUGGACCAACUGGCCAAGUUGCUGAGCUACAAGAUAAACCAGCUGGCAAACCACUCGAAUCCAGAGGAGGCAAAGAGGAGCACGCAACAGAAAACCCUCACUGCACAGGAGGAGAAAGAGCUGCAGAACCUCGCAGCGAUGGACAUGGAGUUGCAGAAAAUCGCUGCCAAAUUGCAUGACAACAGUGCGUAA
This 3354-nucleotide long non-coding RNA is filed under the name Sparus aurata (gilthead seabream). Its description in RNAcentral is "lncRNA (ENSSAUG00010003985.1)". Lineage: Eukaryota; Metazoa; Chordata; Actinopteri; Spariformes; Sparidae. The record is from RNAcentral.